RNAcentral lists this ribosomal RNA (506 nucleotides) under uncultured bacterium. Its description in RNAcentral is "partial 16S ribosomal RNA". It matches the Rfam family "Bacterial small subunit ribosomal RNA", at positions 28 to 507 of the family's 1533-position model. The record is from RNAcentral.
GACGAACGCUGGCGGCGUGCUUAACACAUGCAAGUCGAACGGUGAAGGGACUGGUUUUGCUGGUCCUGGAUGAGUGGCGAACGGGUGAGUAACACGUGAGUACCCUGCCCCCUUCUUCUGGAUAACCGCAUGAAAGUGUGGCUAAUACGGGAUAUUCUGGGUCUGUCGCAUGGUGGGCCUGGGAAAGAUUGCGCCUUUUUUGGUGUUUUUGGUGGGGGAUGGGCUCGCGGCCUCUCAGCUUGUUGGUGGGGUGAUGGCCUACCAAGGCGGUGACGGGUAGCCGGCCUGAGGGGGUGGACGGUCACACUGGGGAUGAGACACGGCCCAGACUCCUACGGGAGGCAGCAGUGGGGAAUAUUGCACAAUGGGCGCAAGCCUGAUGCAGCGACGCCGCGUGAGGGAUGGAGGCCUGCGGGUUGUGAACCUCUUUCGCCAGUGAAGCAGGCCUGCCUCUUUGUGUGGGUGGGUUGACGGUAGCUGGAUAAGAAGCGCCGGCUAACUACGCG